RNAcentral lists this ribosomal RNA (253 nucleotides) under uncultured bacterium. RNAcentral's name for it is "partial 16S ribosomal RNA". It matches the Rfam family "Bacterial small subunit ribosomal RNA", at positions 524 to 776 of the family's 1533-position model. The record is from RNAcentral.
UACAGAGACCUCGAGCGUUAUCCGGAUUUAUUGGGCGUAAAGCGUCUGUAGGCGGUUUGGUUAGUCAGGUGUCAAAUCUCGGUGCUCAACAUCGAGGCUGCGCUUGAAACUGCCAGACUAGAGGCCGGGAGAGGUAGAUAGAAUUGCCGGUGUAGGGGUAAAAUCCGUUAAUAUCGGCAAGAAUACCAAAUGCGAAGGCGUUCUACUAGAACGGACCUGACGCUGAGAGACGAAAGCGUGGGGAGCGAAUGGG